RNAcentral lists this ribosomal RNA (429 nucleotides) under Chloroflexota bacterium. RNAcentral's name for it is "Chloroflexi bacterium partial 16S ribosomal RNA". It matches the Rfam family "Bacterial small subunit ribosomal RNA", at positions 355 to 776 of the family's 1533-position model. The record is from RNAcentral. Lineage: Bacteria; Bacillati; Chloroflexota.
UGGGGAAUAUUGCACAAUGGGCGCAAGCCUGAUGCAGCCAUGCCGCGUGUAUGAAGAAGGCCUUCGGGUUGUAAAGUACUUUCAGUCGGGAGGAAGGUGUCAAGGUUAAUAACCUUGGCAAUUGACGUUACCGACAGAAGAAGCACCGGCUAACUCCGUGCCAGCAGCCGCGGUAAUACGGAGGGUGCAAGCGUUAAUCGGAAUUGCUGGGCGUAAAGCGCACGCAGGCGGUUUGUUAAGUCAGAUGUGAAAUCCCCGGGCUCAACCUGGGAACUGCAUCUGAUACUGGCAAGCUUGGGUCUCGUAGAGGGGGGUAGAAUUCCAGGUGUAGCGGUGAGAUGCGUAGAGAUCUGGAGGAAUACCGGAGGCGAAGGCGGCCCCCUGGACGAAGACUGACGCUCAGGUGCGAAAGCGUGGGGAGCAAACAGG